Molecule: ribosomal RNA, 468 nt
Filed under: uncultured bacterium
Lineage: Bacteria
Description: partial 16S ribosomal RNA
Rfam family: Bacterial small subunit ribosomal RNA
Source: RNAcentral
GACGAACGCUGGCGGCGUGCUUAAUACAUGCAAGUCGAACGGAAAGGCCCUGCUCUUGCGGGGUGCUCGAUUGGCGAACGGGUGAGUAACACGUGUGUAUCCUGUCCUUGUCUUUGGGAUAACUUCAGGAAACACGGGCUAAAAUCGGAUAGGAGCUCCUGCUCCAUGGUGGUGGUUGGAAAGUUUCGGCGGUUGGGGCUGGACUCGCGGCUUACCAGCUUGUUGGUGGGGUAGUGGCUUACCAAGGCUUUGACGGGUAGCCCGCCUGAGAGGGGUAACGGCCACCAGGGGACUGAGAGACGGCGCAGUCUGCUACGGGAGGCAGUAGGCGGAAGUAUGACAGAGUGAGGCGGAGCCAGAGACAGCAGCCUCGCGUGCGGGAUGACGUGCUACGGGUGGUAAACCGCUGUCGCAGGUGACGUGGCGGGAGUGACGGUAAUGGAUAAGAAAGCACCGGCUAACUACGUG